UACGGAGGGUCCGAGCGUUAAUCGGAAUUACUGGGCGUAAAGCGUACGUAGGUGGUUUGUUAAGUUGGAUGUGAAAGCCCCGGGCUCAACCUGGGAACUGCAUUCAAAACUGGCGAACUAGAGUAUGGUAGAGGUAAGUGGAAUUUCCUGUGUAGCGGUGAAAUGCGUAGAGAUGGGAAGGAACACCAGUGGCGAAGGCGACUUACUGGACUAAUACUGACACUGAGGUACGAAAGCGUGGGUAGCAAACAGG
RNAcentral lists this ribosomal RNA (253 nucleotides) under uncultured bacterium. RNAcentral's name for it is "partial 16S ribosomal RNA". It matches the Rfam family "Bacterial small subunit ribosomal RNA", at positions 524 to 776 of the family's 1533-position model. The record is from RNAcentral.